Long non-coding RNA from Bactrocera neohumeralis, 2658 nucleotides. RefSeq lists it as uncharacterized. The record is from RefSeq and is a predicted model, not a curated record. Lineage: Eukaryota; Metazoa; Arthropoda; Insecta; Diptera; Tephritidae. The transcript is spliced from 4 exons.
AUGUAAAAAAGCAAUAAAGCAAUAAUUUUUAGUUAUUUAGCAUAUUUUGUGUUCAUAAUGAUUUCAGGAUAUUACUUAUUUGUGUAGAGAAAUAUAUGUACACAUAUAUCUCAGCUGAAACACCCUGUGUUAUGUUGUCUUUGUUAGUUCCGUUACAUAUUCACUUCCCUCUACUGUUUUCAUACAAUUUUCAAGUGAAUUUAAGCAAUUUUGUUGCAUUGUAUAAAUAUUUGUUGAUAAUAAUAGGAGUUUAAGAGGUUUUGGGUAAACUGUUGAGAUUAAGAAAACUCUGUAGUACAAUAAAGAGGAAGGAUACCUGCGAAUAAAGAUUAAUCAAUUUCUACAAAAUGUCAUAGUCAGAUGUAUUGUAUAAGAUAGUACACAAAUUGAAGAAAUUGCUGGAGAAAAAUCUACUAAAUUUGUUUAUGCAUUACUGACAGAGGGGUACGGUUUUUAUAUCCAGGCAUCAACAAAAAAGCCAUUCGAUAACUACUAAAACUAAACUAUUAAUUUGAAAUGUGAACUCCUUCUAAAAAGAAGAGUGAAAACUUGCAUAUUCUCCAAAUUAACCCUAACCCAUAAGGCAAAGGCAUUGCGACUUGUCUAGAAAGACAAGUUCAAUUAAGAAAAUAUUGAGCCUUAAAAAUUUGUUCUCCUAUUAUAUAACUAUAAGUUCUAGUAUUAUAAUAGGUUGUCAAAAAAGUCUUGCGGUAUUUUCGCUUGUUGGCGCUGAAAGCGCGUAGUUCCAGUUUUAUUCGUCGCAUACGUCGUCAUACUAUACCUUUUUGAAAAGCUCAUUUCACGCGCUAACACGUAUUUGAUUGAUUGUCGUUUCUUUUAAGUCGUUCGUGAGUUAUAGCGUCGCAAACAUGGAGCAAAAUAAAGAGAAAAUACGGUAUAUUUUACAGUACUACUACGAUAAAGGCAAAAAUGCAUCUCAAGCCGCCAAUAAAAUUUGUGCAGUUUAUGGACCCGAUACAGUUUCCAUUUCCACCGCACAACGAUGGUUUCAACGUUUUCGUUCUGGUGUAGAGGUGGUCAAAGAUGUGCCACGCUCCGGAAGGCCUGUCGUCGAAAAUUGCGAUAAAAUCGCUGAAUUGGUCGAAAGAGACCGGCAUAGUAGCAGCCGUAGCAUCGGUCAAGAGCUGGGCAUGAGUCAUCAAAAAUUCAUUUCAAUUUCAAUAAAAAUACCGCAAGACUUUUUUGACAACCCAUUACUUUGUAAGAUAACUCAAAUUUCGUUUUUCCGUGGAUUAUCUAACAACUUCGCUUCCAACUCAAAUGGCUGUCACAUACUAAGGCAAAAGGAAUUGCUAUAAUUGCAAAAUAAUCGUAUUUUCACGUUCAAAGGAAGUCCAUCGGUCGAUUUGGAACAGGCAUACAUCCACAUUUCUUAUCAUCGUCACAGUUGUGUGAUUCACAAAGCACUUGCAAAAGCAAAAGUAGCAAUUUGAAAGUCAAAAGAAACAAAUAUUCCUUUCCAAUUUGAAUGAUGAGUUGCAGUACUCAGCUUCUACUGUAUUAUCCUGAUGCCUUGCAUUAAUCUUCUUAGUUGUUUUUGCAUAUGAUUUAGUAAACAUUCUUCCUAAGCUCAAUAUGGAGGUACGCCUGUAUGAAGUAAGGCGCGAGGUGCGAUAGGUUAUUGGUUAUACUUUAUUUACAUACAUAUGUAUAUCGAGACAGUAUACAAAUAUACAAGUAUUUCAAUAAUAAACUCUUCUUCUGGCUCAAAAAAAUACAUUUACAUAUACGGCGGAACAUAUAUAUGAUGAGACAAUAAGCGGUGUGUUUAAAGUGGGCUGACGACAGUCUUACCCCAUGGCGCUUAAUAAUCGCGUGGAUCAAAAUAAUGCCUUUCUCAGCGCCCCGAGAAUACGGUACCAAUUGCAAGUAUGGAAUGGACACACUAACCACUUUGGAAGGAUUUGAGGUCCAUCUGAAACUUCUUCCGUACUUUGGGUUUGGCACCCAGUUGCAAUUCAACACCACGUUGAACUAACACAAGGUCAGUUCUUCCGCAUUCGGUUAUUAAACCACAACUAUCACGAUACUCUCCGUGCCGUGCUGCAUGAGCAGGUUGAAGCGAGCUCCAAACAGGAAGCAGGAGCCUCCCGUGUUACCAGAAUUAAGUCUCCGGUCAGAUCUCGUAGCCGAAACUACUGCCAGUUGAAAUUUCAUACUUCUCUGGAGUGAUGAUUAGGGGUUGUACCAACAGUUACAUUGCACGAACACACCAUUUCCACAAGAAGAUAGCCCUAAUUCUUAGUUAAGCGCCUUCGCUGUCUAAACUACUCACGCACCAGUCUAAUUCUUCGGAGAUCGGUAAUGACUGAGCACUUUGGACACUCCGUGAUCACAUGCACUCAAAAAAUGCAAUUCAAUGGCGAAAAUUGUAAAGUUUUCGACGUUUGUUAACUCAGCAAUAGUGCAAUGAUGAACUUGAUUCAAUGUUUAGCGAUGGGCAUAGAUCACUCAAAACAUCGAUUUGAUAAGUCAUCUACCGUAUACUCUUGACUUGGCACCGAAUGACUUAUUUUGAACUAAGUGGCCGACGUUUUUCGACUCCUGAAGAGUGGUAUCCCUGCAUCUCCAUAUGAUCAUCGGAAAUCCGGUAAUUCUGCAUCAAUAACACACUUAAUCAGAACAAGAGAAGAUGUA